Molecule: ribosomal RNA, 253 nt
Filed under: uncultured bacterium
Lineage: Bacteria
Description: partial 16S ribosomal RNA
Rfam family: Bacterial small subunit ribosomal RNA
Source: RNAcentral
UACGAAGGGGGCUAGCGUUGUUCGGAUUUACUGGGCGUAAAGCGCACGUAGGCGGUUUGUUAAGUCAGGGGUGAAAUCCCAGAGCUCAACUCUGGAACUGCCUUUGAUACUGGCAAGCUAGAGUCCGGAAGAGGUAAGUGGAACUCCUAGUGUAGAGGUGGAAUUCGUAGAUAUUAGGAAGAACACCGGUGGCGAAGGCGGCCCACUGGAUCGGUACUGACGCUGAGGUGCGAAAGCGUGGGGAGCAAACAGG